GCGAACGGGUGAGUAAUAUAUUGGAACGUACCGAGUAAUGGGGGAUAACUUGCCGAAAGGUAAGCUAAUACCGCAUACGCUCUGAGGAGGAAAGCAGGGGACCUUCGGGCCUUGCGUUAUUCGAGCGGCCAAUAUCUGAUUAGCUAGUUGGUGGGGUAAAGGCCUACCAAGGCGACGAUCAGUAGCGGGUCUGAGAGGAUGAUCCGCCACACUGGGACUGAGACACGGCCCAGACUCCUACGGGAGGCAGCAGUGGGGAAUUUUGGACAAUGGGCGCAAGCCUGAUCCAGCCAUGCCGCGUGUCUGAAGAAGGCCUUCGGGUUGUAAAGGACUUUUGUCAGGGAAGAAAAGGUUGUGGCUAAUAUCCAUGACUGAUGACGGUACCUGAAGAAUAAGCACCGGCUAACUACGUGCCAGCAGCCGCGGUAAUACGUAGGGUGCGAGCGUUAAUCGGAAUUACUGGGCGUAAAGCGAGCGCAGACGGUUACUUAAGCAGGAUGUGAAAUCCCCGGGCUCAACCU
RNAcentral lists this ribosomal RNA (521 nucleotides) under Neisseria weaveri. RNAcentral describes it as "bacterial SSU rRNA". It matches the Rfam family "Bacterial small subunit ribosomal RNA", at positions 98 to 615 of the family's 1533-position model. Lineage: Bacteria; Pseudomonadati; Pseudomonadota; Betaproteobacteria; Neisseriales; Neisseriaceae. The record is from RNAcentral.